Molecule: ribosomal RNA, 462 nt
Filed under: uncultured bacterium
Lineage: Bacteria
Description: partial 16S ribosomal RNA
Rfam family: Bacterial small subunit ribosomal RNA
Source: RNAcentral
GACGAACGCUGGCGGCGUGCUUAACACAUGCAAGUCGAACGGUGAACCUCUUCGGAGGGGAUCAGUGGCGAACGGGUGAGUAACACGUGGGCAACCUGCCCCCGGCUCUGGGAUAACUCCAAGAAAUUGGGGCUAAUACCGGAUGUUCACCGCUUCCCGCAUGGGUGGUGGUGGAAAGGGUUUCCGGCUGGGGAUGGGCCCGCGGCCUAUCAGCUUGUUGGUGGGGUAGUGGCCUACCAAGGCGACGACGGGUAGCCGGCCUGAGGGGGUGACCGGCCACCCUGGGCCUGGGGACGGGCCAGGACUCCUAGGGGGGGCAGGGGGGGGGAUUAUUGGGAAUGGGGCGGAGGCCUGACGCAGGGACGCCGCGUGGGGGAAGCCGGCUUUCGGGUGUUAAACCUUUUUCAGCGGGAACGAGGCGCAGGGAGCGGACCCGGAAAAAGAAGCCCCGCCCAACUCAUG